Molecule: long non-coding RNA, 2121 nt
Organism: Brienomyrus brachyistius
Lineage: Eukaryota; Metazoa; Chordata; Actinopteri; Osteoglossiformes; Mormyridae
Exons: 5
Source: RefSeq, a predicted model, not a curated record
GACAAGUACAGCCUCAUCUGGUUACAGCCCAGCCCGGCCUGGGGGGUCUCGUACCUCACCGUGUACAACAUCGGCGCGGCGGAUUCAGGAGAGUAUCACUGCCACGCGUCACCGGCCGGUGCCUGUGUCACGGGAGACGUUCUCAGCCGUCCGAUUCGGCUGCUGGUGUCAGGGGAUGUGGUAAGAGAAUGUGGACAGGAUGUAACAGGUCCCCUUUCAGUGGGGAUCCUGAACAUUGUACAGACGAUACAGAUCACAGUCCUUCUGGGAUCCUUCGUUGCUUUUAAUGUUUACUGGAGACUGAAGGUGUCAGCGUACCCCGAAGGGAGGAGCUCCCCAGUCGCGCUGACAAAGGAUGACACCUCCGGGGGGGGUCCCAUGCAGGCUGAGACAGAGAACGACACUGAACUGGACUAUGAUGACUGUGCGACUGUGUGAUACAUACACGCGGUCAUCGGAGCAGCACUGGCCUGGGAUCAGCGUUUAAAUGUCAACUUGCUACGAUUAAUUAAGAUUUGGUUCCUCCUUGCUGUUUGCGUCCUGUUUCUUUUCUUUUUCAUCGGUGCUGCUUUCUUUUGUCAAGGAGCAUGACCUCCCCCUGCUGUCAAUCAUCUGCAUUACCAGUUAUUUACUGGGCUGUCAGACUGAAGCAGAAUCCCAAUAGUACAGCUUCUGAGAUACUGUACUAUCAGCCUUUUCUGGAUGGGACCCCUUUUCCUUCUGAACUCUUUAAUGAAAUACAUUGCUUUAACAAAACAAGAAAUAUUAACAGAGGUGUCUAUACACUUUUAUAAAAUGCUACCUUUUUUGCGCACUUGCUUAUGCAAAUGUGAAAUGGUAUAAAACAAGCAAGGCUUGUGACAGUGAAAUAAAAUGAAGAUCAGGCACGUAAGUCGAUCCAUCAGGGUACUGGACAGAAAUCAGACCUAAAGUACAGUGUGUAACCAGCCCUGGUCAUCAUCUCAGGGUAUUGUGGAGAAGCGAAUGGCUUAGCUAGUUGGUGGAAAGAAAGGUGACAGCAAAGGCUUCUGGGAUGUUGUUCAUAAUGGCCAAUUAAAACACAAGAGAUUUUGAAGGUGAAAUGUAAAAUUCUGGUAUAAAACCCUUGGGGUGGGUGGGGGGGUGACAGAGGAAUUUCCUUAAGUGGAUAUAGCUCAGCGUAGAACACCAGCACUUAAUUUCAAAAACACAAACAUAGUGCAAUUAGAAUCUAAAAGCAAACUAAUAUCCACCAUCUGUAGGAAGAAACGGUAGUUUUAACUAACUCUGAGUCACCAGCUUAAAGGUGUUAUAGCAGCUAUAGGAGCUAAACCGUAACAGAAAUCAAAGGCAAGACAGAGAAACAGCAGCAGCGCAUUGACCCUGGUGGAGGAGGCACACAGGAGUGGGCCAGACAGACUCAGACGCUGAUUUCUAAGAAAGAGGAAGUGACACAGCCUCAAACUGAGACACACAGACACACCGGUCUGCUGCUGCCGACGCACACAUACAUUAUUCUUAAUGUGCUUAUUUUUGUGAUUCUGUAUUAUUCUAAAGGAAUUGCAAGGUAUUGCAAUAGGAAAAAAAUCUGAAUCAAGCUAAAAGCUUGAAAUAUCUUAUUGAGCUAUUAACUUUAAAGUCCAGACAGAACCUAAACGGAGAGAAAAUAUCACUGAACAAUAAGGAGCUCAAACAAAACUACGAAAUAUGGAAGGGGUGGUGUCUGGGGGACUAGGUGUUGUUUCCAUUAGAAACAGCGCUCCUUCAGUUAACCUCUUAGUGAGGACAAGAGAUCCGAGAAGCAGAUUCACAGAGACCCUGAUCUUCAGAGAAUAACCAUAAUUAAAAUUAUAAUUCUAUAAUGGCAGUUAUGACAGGAGUGAUUGGACUGUUAAGUCUGGUGCUAAUAAAUCAGCUUGAAGUUUUCUUUAAGAUGUUGGAACAAUGUUUAAUGAAAUGUGCAAGAUAAUAUCAGUGAUAUUAACAAUGAAAAACAAUAGAGCAUCUCAGAGGUAAGACAAUAUUUACCAGUUUAUAUAAGGUAAAGAUAGAAGCUUCUUUUUGUUCUGUUUAGCAAGUGUUUGUGUGACAUGGAGAUUCUGAAUAGAUGGAUAAUUAAAAAUUAAUCAAACUAAAACCUUC